CGGGGUGCAGCAGGCGCGAAAACUUUGCAAUACACGAAAGUGUGACAGGGUCAUCCCGAGUGCCGACCGCUGAGGUUGGCUUUUACCCAGUCUAGAAAGCUGGGGGAAUAAGGAGAGGGCAAGUCUGGUGUCAGCCGCCGCGGUAAUACCAGCUCUCCGAGUGGUGUGGACGUUUAUUGGGCCUAAAGCAUCCGUAGCUGGCUGAACAAGUCCCCUGUUAAACCCACCGAUUUAAUCGUUGGUCUGCGGGGGAUACUGCUCGGCUAGGGGACGAGAGAGGCAGGCGGUAUUCUCGGGGUAGGGGUGAAAUCCUAUAAUCCCGGGAAGACCACCAGUGGCGAAGGCUGCCUGCUAGAGCGCGCCCGACGGUGAGGGAUGAAAGCUGGGGGAGCGAACCGGAUUAGAUACCCGGGUAGUCCCAGCUGUAAACGAUGCAGACUAGGUGUUUGGACGGCCACGUGCCGUUCUAGUGCCGCAGGGAAGCUGUUAAGUCUGCCGCCUGGGGAGUACGAUCGCAAGAUUGAAACUUAAAGGAAUUGGCGGGGGAGCACA
Molecule: ribosomal RNA, 552 nt
Filed under: uncultured archaeon
Lineage: Archaea
Description: bacterial SSU rRNA
Rfam family: Archaeal small subunit ribosomal RNA
Source: RNAcentral